RNAcentral lists this long non-coding RNA (396 nucleotides) under Erythranthe guttata (spotted monkey flower). RNAcentral's name for it is "long non-coding RNA (EGUT_LNC000287)". Lineage: Eukaryota; Viridiplantae; Streptophyta; Magnoliopsida; Lamiales; Phrymaceae. The record is from RNAcentral.
ACAUAAUCAACAAGGGGGGAAAAUUACAUCAAUAGAGAAUAGAAACGGAAAAUUACCCGCUUCAAUUCCUUUUUGCGGAUCUCUUUGCGGUAGGAAUCGGUAGGGUUCAUCGUUUUGCCUCCCUUCGUCGUCUUCACCAUUGUGACUGCUUUUCAAUAAUCUGUAAACCGAGUUUUCUAUCCUCAAUCGUCGUUCUCCGUCGAGGAAGAUAUCCCAAAUGGGUGUCGUCGAUAAAUAAAACCUCGCUGCGAAUUCGAUUUUGAGUGUUUUUGCAGAGGAUUAAGCAAAAUACGGAGACGAGAAUUUGAUUAGAAAUAGUGAUUUGGGUUCGGGUCGGGUUUUCAUCUAAACGGGUAAAGCAUGAAAAGAGAGUUAAACGUUUUGCAGAAGAAUGAA